Molecule: ribosomal RNA, 497 nt
Filed under: uncultured bacterium
Lineage: Bacteria
Description: partial 16S ribosomal RNA
Rfam family: Bacterial small subunit ribosomal RNA
Source: RNAcentral
GAUGAACGCUGGCGGCGUGCCUAAUACAUGCAAGUCGAGCGAACAGACGAGGAGCUUGCUCCUCUGACGUUAGCGGCGGACGGGUGAGUAACACGUGGAUAACCUACCUAUAAGACUGGGAUAACUUCGGGAAACCGGAGCUAAUACCGGAUAAUAUAUUGAACCGCAUGGUUCAAUAGUGAAAGACGGUUUUGCUGUCACUUAUAGAUGGAUCCGCGCCGCAUUAGCUAGUUGGUAAGGUAACGGCUUACCAAGGCGACGAUGCGUAGCCGACCUGAGAGGGUGAUCAGCCACACUGGAACUGAGACACGGUCCAGACUCCUACGGGAGGCAGCAGUAGGGAAUCUUCCGCAAUGGGCGAAAGCCUGACGGAGCAACGCCGCGUGAGUGAUGAAGGUCUUCGGAUCGUAAAACUCUGUUAGUAGGGAAGAACAAAUGUGUAAGUAACUAUGCACGUCUUGACGGUACCUAAUCAGAAAGCCACGGCUAACUACGUG